GCCCGAGUAGCUCAGUGGUAGAGCAAUGCUUUCGUAAAGCGGAGGUCACAGGUUCGAGUCCUGUCUUGGGCA
RNAcentral lists this transfer RNA (72 nucleotides) under Planctomycetota bacterium. RNAcentral describes it as "Planctomycetes bacterium (soil metagenome) tRNA-Thr". It matches the Rfam family "tRNA". Rfam says of the family: Transfer RNA (tRNA) molecules are approximately 80 nucleotides in length. Their secondary structure includes four short double-helical elements and three loops (D, anti-codon, and T loops). The record is from RNAcentral. Lineage: Bacteria; Pseudomonadati; Planctomycetota.